AUACGUAGGUGACAAGCGUUAUCCGGAUUUACUGGGCGUAAAGGGCGUGUAGGCGGUCUUGCAAGUCAGAAGUGAAAUUCCUGAGCUCAACUCGGGCGCUGCUUCUGAAACUGCAGGACUUGAGUGCUGGAGGGGAUAGCGGAAUUCCUAGUGGAGCGGUAAAAUGCGCAGAUAUUAGGAAGAACACCGGUGGCGAAGGCGGCUAUCUGGACAGUAACUGACGCUGAGGCGCGAAAGCGUGGGGAGCAAACAGGAUUAGAUCCCCUGGUAGUCCACGCCGUAAACGAUGAAUACUAGGUGUAGGGGGUAUCGACUCCCUCUGUGCCGCAGUUAACACAAUAAGUAUUCCGCCUGGGGAGUGCGGCCGCAAGGCUAAAACUCAAAUGAAUUGACGGGG
This 397-nucleotide ribosomal RNA is filed under the name uncultured bacterium. Its description in RNAcentral is "partial 16S ribosomal RNA". It matches the Rfam family "Bacterial small subunit ribosomal RNA", at positions 523 to 918 of the family's 1533-position model. The record is from RNAcentral.